AUUGGCCUUUAAUUGAGGUCUGGUAUAAACGGACUCAUAUGUAAUUACUGUCUCAUUUGUACUUUUUUUAACUUACUUAGUAGGUGAAAAUUCCUAUUAAUCUAUAUGAAGGACGAUAAGACCCUUAGAAUUAUUAAUAAAGGAUAUUUAAUUAGUUUAUCACUCAUUUUUGUUGGGGCGACAAAUUCUCAUAUAACAUAAUUUAUAUGAGCAAUACAAGACUAAUUUACUUAGAAAGAUUUAAUUACCUAAGGGAUAACAGCAUAAUAUUUCUACUAUGUUUAUGACCUCGAUGUUGGACUAGGUAAAUUUAUAAUUAAAAGUUAUAAAUAUUUGUUCUGUUCGAACAUCUAACACCUACAUGAUCUGAGUUCAGACCG
Molecule: ribosomal RNA, 380 nt
Filed under: Anguispira sp. DGH-2011
Lineage: Eukaryota; Metazoa; Mollusca; Gastropoda; Stylommatophora; Discidae
Description: partial 16S ribosomal RNA
Source: RNAcentral